GAAUUGCAGAAUUCAGUGGAAUCAUCGAAUCUUUGAACGCACCUUGCGCCCUUUGGCUAUUCCAAAGGGCAUGCCUGUUUUGAGUAUC
This 88-nucleotide ribosomal RNA is filed under the name uncultured fungus. Its description in RNAcentral is "partial 5.8S ribosomal RNA". It matches the Rfam family "5.8S ribosomal RNA", at positions 69 to 154 of the family's 154-position model. From Rfam's summary of the family: 5.8S ribosomal RNA (5.8S rRNA) is a component of the large subunit of the eukaryotic ribosome. It is transcribed by RNA polymerase I as part of the 45S precursor that also contains 18S and 28S rRNA. Lineage: Eukaryota; Fungi. The record is from RNAcentral.